GCCAGCAACCAUAUCAUCCUGCAACUCACAACUGGUAACCCACUGAAGCCAAGCAGGUGUGAGCCUGGUUACUAUCUGGAUGGGAGACCUCCUGGGAAAUACUAAGGUUGCUGCUGGAA
This 119-nucleotide ribosomal RNA is filed under the name Lepisosteus oculatus (spotted gar). Lineage: Eukaryota; Metazoa; Chordata; Actinopteri; Semionotiformes; Lepisosteidae. The record is from RNAcentral.